CUGCUUCUGGUUUUCGCCGUCGCUGUUUUCCCUUGGAGACCAUGCCGCUGAAAUGGGUUUUGCAUUGGCAACCCAAUGCAGGAACAACUGUGAACACCCAAAUCCUCAACGAGGUCUCGCAGUGCGUAGAGAGCAUAAACGGAGUUAAAGAAGGGAGGUGGAAAGCUACUCUAACCUCCUAUAAGCCCAUGGUUCGAGAACAGUCGCUAACUGCGGAAUUCCCUCGAGAUUUCUUCGGGAUUUCUCUGCCGGAGCAGCCAAACAAGUACUAUUUCAUGAUCAGGGGUCAAAGGCUCGUUGUUGAGGCGGAUUCAACAAUUCAGACCAUAAUGGAUAAACUUCAGUCUUACAAAUCGAGGGUGGCGCUUUGUUUUGAGGGGUUUCAGUAUCAACUUGGAGACUUUCAGUUGAGAGUGGGAAAGGUUGUUCCGAGUCAUUCUGAGAACUUGAGAGGAAUUGUUAUGGAGGUUGAGUAUCUUCCCAUAUCUUCAAUGGAGAAAGCCAGGCAAAUCAUGGAAGAAUUUGUUGAUAUAUGGCAAGAGGCCAUCUCAAAAAGAUCAUUACCUGGUCAUUUUAUGCAUAUAGAGCCUAAUUUUUCUGAGUACGGUCUCUUGGAUCAUUAUACUCCACAACAUACGGCUGUUCAAUAUGCUACUGUUGUGGCUCAAAUGAUUGCAACACAGACAGUGCAAGCAACAAGAAAUUAGGAAGCAGUGGACAUACUCUUCCAGUAUGCUUAUUGUAUAACUGACUUGUUUUUUGGAAGUUGAAAGAAUUGAUUGAUCAUGACAUUUAUGUUCAUGUGUUGUUAGAUACUAUUGUCUUCUCCACUUUCUUAAUUUGGCCAUUUAUUUCUUUU
RNAcentral lists this unclassified non-coding RNA (859 nucleotides) under Hevea brasiliensis (rubber tree). The record is from RNAcentral. Lineage: Eukaryota; Viridiplantae; Streptophyta; Magnoliopsida; Malpighiales; Euphorbiaceae.